CCUACGGGCGGCAGCAGUGAGGAAUAUUGGUCAAUGGUCGUAAGACUGAACCAGCCAAGUAGCGUGCAGGCUGACGGCCCUAUGGGUUGUAAACUGCUUUUAUGCGGGUAUAAAGUGCAUCACGUGUGAUGUUUUGUAGGUACCGCAUGAAUAAGGACCGGCUAAUUCCGUGCCAGCAGCCGCGGUAAUACGGAAGGUCCGGGCGUUAUCCGGAUUUAUUGGGUUUAAAGGGAGCGUAGGCCGCAUGUUAAGCGUGCCGUGAAAUGCCCGGGCUCAACCCGGGCAUUGCGGCGCGAACUGGCGUGCUUGAGUCCGCGGAAAGCAGGCGGAAUUCGUGGUGUAGCGGUGAAAUGCUUAGAUAUGACGAAGAACCCCGAUUGCGAAGGCAGCUUGCUGCAGCGGAACUGACGCUGAUGCUCGAAGGCGCGGGUAUCGAACAGGAUUAGAUACCCCUGUAGUC
This 460-nucleotide ribosomal RNA is filed under the name uncultured bacterium. Its description in RNAcentral is "partial 16S ribosomal RNA". It matches the Rfam family "Bacterial small subunit ribosomal RNA", at positions 338 to 795 of the family's 1533-position model. The record is from RNAcentral.